RNAcentral lists this ribosomal RNA (970 nucleotides) under Lophiotrema vagabundum. RNAcentral's name for it is "SSU rRNA". It matches the Rfam family "Eukaryotic small subunit ribosomal RNA", at positions 102 to 1080 of the family's 1831-position model. Lineage: Eukaryota; Fungi; Ascomycota; Dothideomycetes; Pleosporales; Lophiotremataceae. The record is from RNAcentral.
UAAAUCAGUUAUCGUUUAUUUGAUAGUACCUUACUACUUGGAUAACCGUGGUAAUUCUAGAGCUAAUACAUGCUAAAAACCCCAACUUCGGGAGGGGUGUAUUUAUUAGAUAAAAAACCAAUGCCCUCCGGGGCUCUUUGGUGAUUCAUGAUAACUUAACGGAUCGCAUGGCCUUGCGCCGGCGACGGUUCAUUCAAAUUUCUGCCCUAUCAACUUUCGAUGGUAAGGUAUUGGCUUACCAUGGUUUCAACGGGUAACGGGGAAUUAGGGUUCGAUUCCGGAGAGGGAGCCUGAGAAACGGCUACCACAUCCAAGGAAGGCAGCAGGCGCGCAAAUUACCCAAUCCCGACUCGGGGAGGUAGUGACAAUAAAUACUGAUACAGGGCUCUUUUGGGUCUUGUAAUCGGAAUGAGUACAAUUUAAACCCCUUAACGAGGAACAAUUGGAGGGCAAGUCUGGUGCCAGCAGCCGCGGUAAUUCCAGCUCCAAUAGCGUAUAUUAAAGUUGUUGCAGUUAAAAAGCUCGUAGUUGAACCUUGGGCCUGGCUGGCCGGUCCGCCUCACCGCGUGUACUGGUCCGGCCGGGCCUUUCCUUCUGGAGAGCCGCAUGCCCUUCACUGGGUGUGUCGGGGAACCAGGACUUUUACUUUGAAAAAAUUAGAGUGUUCAAAGCAGGCCUUUGCUCGAAUACGUUAGCAUGGAAUAAUAGAAUAGGACGUGCGGUCCUAUUUUGUUGGUUUCUAGGACCGCCGUAAUGAUUAAUAGGGAUAGUCGGGGGCAUCAGUAUUCAAUUGUCAGAGGUGAAAUUCUUGGAUUUAUUGAAGACUAACUACUGCGAAAGCAUUUGCCAAGGAUGUUUUCAUUAAUCAGUGAACGAAAGUUAGGGGAUCGAAGACGAUCAGAUACCGUCGUAGUCUUAACCGUAAACUAUGCCGACUAGGGAUCGGGCGAUGUUUCUAUCUUGGAAGGCU